AGCAGGCUCCUGCCUGGGCGAGGCUGUCGGGCCGCAGGGGAAAGAGACCUAGAGGGUGUCGGGGGCCACCAGGCAGUGGCGGCCUGGCUGUCCGGACUUGAGUGUCUCCAUUUCUGAAAUGGUGGUUGGGGAGGGAAAUUAAGCAGGGCUUCGGGUCAGGCAGCCCACGUUUCAACUGGUAGGAUUGCUGCAUUUAUCAAGUAAGAUACAGAACGCCCAGUGACAUUGGAAAUUCAGAUAAACAACGAAUACAUGAGUUAUUUUCAAUAUGAUUAUUUUAUUAUGAUUAUGUCAGUGUGACAGUCACCUGAGUCUGUUUUUCUCCUCUGAGACACACGUGUAGAGGCAGCUCCUGUCACAGCCAGGAUUCGAACCCAGGAAGUUUCACUCCAGACCCGGGGCUGUGACCACCUACUCUUACCUCUCGAAGGCUCCCUCGCUGGAAUGUCCUCCAAAUCCAAGUCAAGUCAGCUCAGGCCCCAGGCAGAUGCUGCAGUGUGUCCUAUUGGGGUCCCUUGGGAUCUCAGAGGCAACUGCCUUCAAGCGCCAGGCUGGUGGCAGAAAGCACUGGGACAGUAGCAGGGGUGGGCCUAUGGGGAAGUGAGAGGGCACACUUCCUGUCUAGGAUUUUUUUUUUUUUUCUUUUGAGACAGAGUCUCUCUCUGUUGCCUAGGCUGGAGUGCAGUGGUGCCAUCCUGGCUCACUGCAACCUCCGCCUCCUGGGUUCAAGCGAUUUUCAGCUAACUUUUGUAUUUUUAGUAGAGACAGGGUUUCACCAUGUUGGCCAGGCUGGUAUCGAACUCCUAACCUCAAGUGACCUGCCUGCCUCGGCCUCCCAAAGUGCUAGGAUUACAGGCGUGAGCCACCACGCCCAGCCCUUGUUUAUGAUUUUUUGUGCAAAAUGUUGAAUUGGCCAGAAAGAUCAUUUCACCAUCCCAACCACACCCACCUCCUCUGCAGGGAGCUAGCCUGGGAACCAGCUUGGGCUCCUGCCCUGGUCUCCAUUUCAAACUCCUUUUUCCUUUUUCUCAGAGGCUCAGGCCUGGGCAGGAUGCCAGGGUAUCUGUCCCCAGCUCAGCAACCUUCCCAGUCUACCCUGCUCCAGGUUCAAAGCCAAAUCACCCCUGGGCCUGGUGCUCUAGGCCUCAGUGCCUCCCCUAUCCAGGGGCUGGGAGGAGGGCUGCUGUAGUGGCCCUGCCCCCUAGGGGCCUCCUUUGAGCACAAACUCUCCUGUCACUGCCACUCCAGCCUGGACACACAUGGGGAGUAGUGGUUCACGCUCAGUCACCAUGGCCCCUCACUCACACAAGGCAGUGGGUCCCCAAAGCCAGAGCCCUUUCCUCUCAGUCCUCGUUCUUCAAGUUUCUUUCCUCAUAGGCCCAACCCUGAGGGCACAAUGGUGAGAAGUUCCCUAUGGAUUCACUCACUGCCCACAAUGGCUGGUGAGGUGAUGAUUCCUUCCCCGGAGAGGCAACUCCAUCCUUGCUAGGGCCACAUGGAGACAGGGACAUGCCCAAAUGGCCCGUGCUCCCAGGGUAGAUGAGGAUCAUAAGUCCACAGUAGAACUGUGACCAGGAAGUCCCACAGCCCCAGAUAAAGAUCUUCACUUUGCUUUUGGCAAAAACCUACUCUGCUUACCACAACCUACACGAUCCUACACAGUGUGAACUCCUUCAGUCACCCUCCACCUGCCCUGGCCACCCUCCGACCGCCAAUCAUUACUGAAGCCAUUCCUACUGCAGGGCCUCUGCCCUCACUGUGUCCUCUGCUGGACUGCGCUAGUCAUAUGGUGGCUUCUCUUACCAUUCAGCUCAAGCAUCACCUCCUCUGAAAAGCCCUUGCCAGCCACCCUACCCAACGCUGCACCCCAAUCCCUCUUGCCUCACCCCGACUCAGUUUUUCAUAAUAUUUGUCACACUCUGAAAUUGCCCUGUGUAUUAACUGGUUGCCUUAUUUAUGGUCCACCUGCCCCACAGACUCUAAGCUCCAUGUGGGCAAAGUCAGACCAGCCAUGUGCUCAGGACACCUCCAGCACCUGCACAGUGCCCGGCACACACUAGGUGCUAGGUCACGUCUAUCAAUGCAUGAGUUAGGAGAGCCUGGGUCCCAUGAGUUCUUGGACAAAUCACUUUCCUUUCCAGCCUGAGGUCCCGGCUAGGCUCACGGCCAGAGACCCAAAGGUGGAGAGAGUCUGAGUCAUCCUUAUGUGUGAGAGCAGGACUCUGUGGCGCUGACUCAGCCCUGUGGGAUCCAGAUGGGUGGAAAUGUGGAGUCAGACUCCAGUUCCUGCUGCAAUUCCCUGCCACCUCCGAGUUUCCCUGGCCCAUCACCUCCUGAGUGAUGGGCGUGACAACACUCUAUGUCACAACUUCCUGCUAAAGUAAGGACAAGAAAUUUCCACUCAGCUCAUGCCAGCACAGAGAGGUUGAGAAAUCAGGCAAGGUCACCCAGACGACUAGGAGUGAUAUCAAUAUUUAAAGUACAUAUAUUCUGGUGAGGUGCAGUGGCUCAUGCCUGUGGGCCCAACACUUUGGGAAGAUCAAAUCAGGCGGAUUGCUGGAGCCCAGGAGUUCAAGAUCAGCCUGGGCAAUAUGAUGAGACCCUGUCUCUGCAAAAUAAAAUAAAAUAAAAUAAAAUAAAAUAAAAUAAAAUAAAAGUAGCCAGGUGUGAUGGCACAUGCUUGUAGUCCCCGCUACUUGGGAGGCUGAGGUGGGAGGAUCACUUGAGCCCAGGAGGUUGAGGCUGCAAGGAGCUGUAAUCCAUGUCACUGCACUCACGCCUAGGUGACAGAGGGAGGCCCUGUCUCAAAAAAAACCAAAAACCAAAUAUUCCAGGAACCCUGCAUCCAGAGCUCUCUCCUUCCUCCCCCUUCCCCCUCAGCCAUCUUUCUUUUUUUGUUGUUGUUUUGUUUUGUUUGAGACAGUCUUGCUGUGUUGCCCAGGCUGGAGUGCAGUGGUGCCAUCUCGGCUCACUGCAACCUCUGCCUCCUGGACUCAAGAAAUUCGCCUGCCUCAGCCUCCCAAGUAGCUGGGACUACAGGCACCCGCCACCACAGCUGGCUAACUUUUCUAUUUUUAGUAGAGACGAGGUUUCAC
This 3095-nucleotide long non-coding RNA is filed under the name Homo sapiens (human). RNAcentral describes it as "HSALNT0354968". Lineage: Eukaryota; Metazoa; Chordata; Mammalia; Primates; Hominidae. The record is from RNAcentral.